This 652-nucleotide long non-coding RNA is filed under the name Penaeus japonicus. RNAcentral's name for it is "uncharacterized LOC122261899". The record is from RNAcentral. Lineage: Eukaryota; Metazoa; Arthropoda; Malacostraca; Decapoda; Penaeidae.
AUGACGUCACAUGUGUAAACCAAUCACAAGCCUAGGAUACGAGUCCGGAUCCGCCAUAGCCCGACUACCCUACAGAAAGAAAUAUCACCGUCCAGGGCCGGAACCAAGGAACGCCUUCCGCCGUCGCCACUCGUGGGUUAGUUGCAACGGAAGAAAAAUUGCGACCAACUCAACAAAAAUAACAACUUGCGACGUUAGUUUACAGGGCAGAUGCAGGUGGAGCAGUCCAGCUGACGUUCAAAAGCUGAUGAACUGACCCACAUCCAGUUUCCCGCACAGACAGACCAGUCUGCGUCAAUGAGCUUAUCCACAGAUCUCCUCGAGUCAAGAAACAGGCAACAGCUGUUCUACACACAUGAUGGAUCCAGCCUUCCUGAAGGAACAAAUAGCAUCAUUAUAAUUUGAUUCCCGGUUACAUGAGCAUAAAGAGUCUAAAAAUCAAUUACCUCUUUGGAAAAUCAUUACCUUUGUACUGAAUCAUAGCCAUCAAAUCAAAUAUCAUUAUCAUUGUCAAUAACCCCUAUAGAACAUGCAUACUAUUUCAGUCAUGCUCAAGUUAAAACAUGGACAACCUGUAUCAAUAUUUUACAGAAAAAGCCAGAAAAAAAUUAUAAGGUUUUCUCAUAAUGUAGAUACUGAUCUGCAUAUUAAA